Molecule: small nuclear RNA, 108 nt
Organism: Suncus etruscus (white-toothed pygmy shrew)
Lineage: Eukaryota; Metazoa; Chordata; Mammalia; Eulipotyphla; Soricidae
Source: RefSeq, a predicted model, not a curated record
GUGCUCGCUUUGGCAGCAUACAUACAAAAAUCGGAACCCUAAGGAGAAGAUCAACAUGGACCCUAUACAAGGAAUGAUAUGCAAAUGUGUGAAGCAUUCCAUAUUUUU